CCUACGGGGAGCAGCAGUGAGGAAUAUUGGUCAAUGGACGAGAGUCUGAACCAGCCAAGUAGCGUGAAGGAUGACUGCCCUAUGGGUUGUAAACUUCUUUUAUAUGGGAAUAAAACGUUCCACGUGUGGGAUUUUGUAUGUACCAUAUGAAUAAGGAUCGGCUAACUCCGUGCCAGCAGCCGCGGUAAUACGGAGGAUCCGAGCGUUAUCCGGAUUUAUUGGGUUUAAAGGGAGCGUAGGUGGAUUGUUAAGUCAGUUGUGAAAGUUUGCGGCUCAACCGUAAAAUUGAAGUUGAAACUGGCAGUCUUGAGUACAGUAGAGGUGGGCGGAAGUCGUGGUGUAGCGGUGAAAUGCUUAGAUAUCACGAAGAACUCCGAUUGCGAAGGCAGUUCACUGGACUGCAACUGACACUGAGGCUCGAAAGUGUGGGUAUCAAACAGGAUUAGAUACCCCUGUAGUC
This 460-nucleotide ribosomal RNA is filed under the name uncultured bacterium. RNAcentral's name for it is "partial 16S ribosomal RNA". It matches the Rfam family "Bacterial small subunit ribosomal RNA", at positions 338 to 795 of the family's 1533-position model. The record is from RNAcentral.